Molecule: ribosomal RNA, 900 nt
Filed under: uncultured bacterium
Lineage: Bacteria
Description: bacterial SSU rRNA
Rfam family: Bacterial small subunit ribosomal RNA
Source: RNAcentral
AGAGUUUGAUCCUGGCUCAGGACGAACGCUGGCGGCGUGCCUAAUACAUGCAAGUCGAGCGAACUUGCGGGAGCUUGCUCCCAAAAGUUAGCGGCGGACGGGUGAGUAACACGUGGGCAACCUGCCUGUAAGACGGGGAUAACUUCGGGAAACCGGAGCUAAUACCGGAUGACUCUUUUCCUCGCAUGAGGAAAAGCUGAAAGAUGGUUUCGGCUAUCACUUACAGAUGGGCCCGCGGCGCAUUAGCUAGUUGGUGAGGUAACGGCUCACCAAGGCAACGAUGCGUAGCCGACCUGAGAGGGUGAUCGGCCACACUGGGACUGAGACACGGCCCAGACUCCUACGGGAGGCAGCAGUAGGGAAUCUUCCGCAAUGGACGAAAGUCUGACGGAGCAACGCCGCGUGAGUGAUGAAGGUUUUCGGAUCGUAAAACUCUGUUGUUAGGGAAGAACAAGUAUCGGAGUAACUGCCGGUACCUUGACGGUACCUAACCAGAAAGCCACGGCUAACUACGUGCCAGCAGCCGCGGUAAUACGUAGGUGGCAAGCGUUGUCCGGAAUUAUUGGGCGUAAAGCGCGCGCAGGUGGUUCCUUAAGUCUGAUGUGAAAGCCCCCGGCUCAACCGGGGAGGGUCAUUGGAAACUGGGGAACUUGAGUGCAGAAGAGGAAAGUGGAAUUCCACGUGUAGCGGUGAAAUGCGUAGAGAUGUGGAGGAACACCAGUGGCGAAGGCGACUUUCUGGUCUGCAACUGACACUGAGGCGCGAAAGCGUGGGGAGCGAACAGGAUUAGAUACCCUGGUAGUCCACGCCGUAAACGAUGAGUGCUAAGUGUUAGGGGGUUUCCGCCCCUUAGUGCUGCAGCAAACGCAUUAAGCACUCCGCCUGGGGAGUACGGCCGCA